UGACAAAGUUCACAAGAAAUAAUAAAUCAGAGCAAUUGGGUUUUCAAUAUGAUAAUUAUUAACUCAAUUGAUAGGCAUUUUAUAGCCUUUACAUAAACUGAUAGAACGAAGAAUAAGCUAAAGAAAUAAUACAGCAGAAGAAUAAAACUAAGAAUAAGAUCUCCUAACUUCUAGCAACAGCAAAGAUUUUCCUCCUGCUGAAUAGGUCUUUUAUUGACUAAAACUAUCAAC
RNAcentral lists this long non-coding RNA (231 nucleotides) under Manihot esculenta (cassava). RNAcentral's name for it is "long non-coding RNA (MESC_LNC003270)". Lineage: Eukaryota; Viridiplantae; Streptophyta; Magnoliopsida; Malpighiales; Euphorbiaceae. The record is from RNAcentral.